Molecule: ribosomal RNA, 472 nt
Filed under: uncultured bacterium
Lineage: Bacteria
Description: bacterial SSU rRNA
Rfam family: Bacterial small subunit ribosomal RNA
Source: RNAcentral
UGGGGAAUUUUGGACAAUGGGGGCAACCCUGAUCCAGCCAUGCCGCGUGAGUGAAGAAGGCCUUCGGGUUGUAAAGCUCUUUCGGCGGGGACGAAACGGUCCGUGACAACACCACGGACUAAUGACAGUACUCGCAGAAGAAGCACCGGCUAACUACGUGCCAGCAGCCGCGGUAAUACGUAGGGUGCAGGCGUUAAUCGGAAUUACUGGGCGUAAAGCGUGCGCAGGUGGCUCCUUAAGUCAGAUGUGAAAUCCCCGGGCUUAACCUGGGAACUGCGUUUGAAACUGAGGAGCUAGAGUGUGGAAGAGGGGGGUGGAAUUCCAGGUGUAGCAGUGAAAUGCGUAGAGAUCUGGAGGAACACCGAUGGCGAAGGCAGCCCCCUGGGCUAACACUGACGCUCAUGCACGAAAGCGUGGGGAGCAAACAGGAUUAGAUACCCGGGUAGUCCCUGAGCGGGCUGGCAAGGCGCAU